CAGCUCCAAUAGCGUAUAUUAAAGUUGUUGUGGUUAAAAAGCUCGUAGUUGAACCUUGGGCCUGGCUGGCCGGUCCGCCUCACCGCGUGCACUGGUCCGGCCGGGCCUUUCCCUCUGCGGAACCCCAUGCCCUUCACUGGGUGUGGCGGGGAAACAGGACUUUUACUUUGAAAAAAUUAGAGUGCUCAAGGCAGGCCUAUGCUCGAAUACAUUAGCAUGGAAUAAUAGAAUAGGACGUGUGGUUCUAUUUUGUUGGUUUCUAGGACCGCCGUAAUGAUUAAUAGGGACAGUCGGGGGCAUCAGUAUUCAAUUGUCAGAGGUGAAAUUCUUGGAUUUAUUGAAGACUAACUACUGCGAAAGCAUUUGCCAAGGAUGUUUUCAUUAAUCAGGAACGAAAGUUAGGGGAUCGAAGACGAUCAGAUACCGUCGUAGUCUUAACCAUAAACUAUGCCGACUAGGGAUCGGACGAUGUUACAUUUUUGACGCGUUCGGCACCUUACGAGAAAUCAAAGUGCUUGGGCUCCAGGGGGAGUAUGGUCGCAAGGCUGAAACUUAAAGAAAUUGACGGAAGGGCACCACCAGGGGUGGAGCCUGCGGCUUAAUUUGACUCAACACGGGGAAACUCACCAGGUCCAGACACAAUGAGGAUUGACAGAUUGAGAGCUCUUUCUUGAUUUUGUGGGUGGUGGUGCAUGGCCGUUCUUAGUUGGUGGAGUGAUUUGUCUGCUUAAUUGCGAUAACGAACGAGACCUUAACCUGCUAAAUAGCCCGUAUUGCUUUGGCAGUACGCCGGCUUCUUAGAGGGACUAUCGGCUCAAGCCGAUGGAAG
This 829-nucleotide ribosomal RNA is filed under the name Trichoderma lixii. RNAcentral describes it as "SSU rRNA". It matches the Rfam family "Eukaryotic small subunit ribosomal RNA", at positions 586 to 1443 of the family's 1831-position model. Lineage: Eukaryota; Fungi; Ascomycota; Sordariomycetes; Hypocreales; Hypocreaceae. The record is from RNAcentral.